GGUAGAUCGAGUGGCGGACGGGUGAGUAACGCGUGGGGAACCUGCCUCAUACAGGGGGAUAACAGUUGGAAACGACUGUUAAUACCGCAUAAGACCACAGAGUCGCAUGACUCAGGGGUAAAAACUCCGGUGGUAUGAGAUGGACCCGCGUUCGAUUAGCCAGUUGGCGGGGUAACGGCCCACCAAAGCGACGAUCGAUAGCCGAUUUGAGAGAAUGACCGGCCACAUUGGGACUGAGACACGGCCCAAACUCCUACGGGAGGCAGCAGUGGGGAAUAUUGCACAAUGGGGGGAACCCUGAUGCAGCGACGCCGCGUGAGUGAAGAAGUAUUUCGGUAUGUAAAGCUCUAUCAGCAGGGAAGAAGAUGACGGUACCUGAGUAAGAAGCCCCGGCUAACUACGUGCCAGCAGCCGCGGUAAUACGUAGGGGGCAAGCGUUAUCCGGAUUUACUGGGUGUAAAGGGAGCGCAGACGGCUAUGCAAGUCUGAAGUGAAAGCCCGGGGCUCAACCCCGGGAUUGCUUUGGAAACUGUGUAGCUAGAGUGUCGGAGAGGUAAGCAGAAUUCCCAGUGUAGCGGUGAAAUGCGUAGAUAUUGGGAAGAAUACCGGUGGCGAAGGCGGCUUACUGGACGAUAACUGACGUUCAGG
RNAcentral lists this ribosomal RNA (648 nucleotides) under uncultured Lachnospiraceae bacterium. RNAcentral's name for it is "bacterial SSU rRNA". It matches the Rfam family "Bacterial small subunit ribosomal RNA", at positions 85 to 751 of the family's 1533-position model. Lineage: Bacteria; Bacillati; Bacillota; Clostridia; Lachnospirales; Lachnospiraceae. The record is from RNAcentral.